UACAGAGGUGGCAAGCGUUGUUCGGAAUUACUGGGCGUAAAGGGCGCGUAGGCGGUCCGAUAAGUCCUGUGUGAAAUCCCUCGGCUCAACUGAGGAAUGGCACGGGAAACUGACGGGCUUGAGUUCGGGAGAGGGAAGCGGAAUUCCGGGUGUAGCGGUGAAAUGCGUAGAUAUCCGGAGGAACACCGGUGGCGAAGGCGGCUUCCUGGACCGACACUGACGCUGAGGCGCGAAAGCUAGGGGAGCAAACGGG
RNAcentral lists this ribosomal RNA (253 nucleotides) under uncultured bacterium. RNAcentral's name for it is "partial 16S ribosomal RNA". It matches the Rfam family "Bacterial small subunit ribosomal RNA", at positions 524 to 776 of the family's 1533-position model. The record is from RNAcentral.